UCGACCUGAGCUCAGGCAAGACU
RNAcentral lists this ribosomal RNA (23 nucleotides) under Gloeomonas anomalipyrenoides. RNAcentral describes it as "partial 28S rRNA". The record is from RNAcentral. Lineage: Eukaryota; Viridiplantae; Chlorophyta; Chlorophyceae; Chlamydomonadales; Chlamydomonadaceae.